AAUCAACGCUGGCGGCGUGCCUAACACAUGCAAGUCGCACGAGAAAGGGGAGCAAUCCCUGAGUAAAGUGGCGCACGGGUGAGUAACACGUGACUAACCUACCCUCGAGUGGGGAAUAACCUAGAGAAAUCUGGGCUAAUACCGCAUAACACUUACGAGUCAAAGCAGCAAUGCGCUUGAGGAGGGGGUCGCGGCAGAUUAGCUAGUUGGCGGGGUAAGUGGCCCACCCAAGGCAAUGAUCUGUAUCCGGCCUGAGAGGGCGCACGGACACACUGGAACUGAAACAACGGUCCAGACUCCUACGGGA
RNAcentral lists this ribosomal RNA (307 nucleotides) under uncultured bacterium. RNAcentral's name for it is "bacterial SSU rRNA". It matches the Rfam family "Bacterial small subunit ribosomal RNA", at positions 32 to 346 of the family's 1533-position model. The record is from RNAcentral.